This is a long non-coding RNA of Alosa alosa (allis shad), 229 nucleotides long. RefSeq lists it as uncharacterized. NCBI's taxonomy places the organism in Eukaryota, Metazoa, Chordata, Actinopteri, Clupeiformes, Clupeidae. The record is from RefSeq and is a predicted model, not a curated record. The transcript is spliced from 3 exons.
GGGAGAUUGACUUGUUCUACCUGGGCUCACUCCUAACGUUCAUCGUCGAAAGCUUCCAUAGGCUACUGUUUAAUCUCCAGAUCAUACUGGAAAGCAUUUUUCUGUCCCUCCCAAAGGCCCUCAAGAACAACCCCCUUACCAGCACUACAAAUCAGAGGAGGCUGAACGGUCGUUAGGGAAAUGGUUUACUGGGGCAAGGGACAGGGGAGGGCUGAGGGCAGCCAGAGUG